CGGAUCUCUAAAUUCAAGGCCAGCCUGCUCUAAAGCCAGUUUCAGGACAGCCAGGACUACACAGAAAAACUCUGUCUCAAAAGAAUAAACAAAAAAGAAAAUGAAAAAAAAUGCAAUUUGGUAUUUUUCAGUUACUAGAAAGUUGCUAGAAACUGGACAUAGUGGCUGCACAUUUGUAAUCCCAUGCCUCCAAAGGCAAAGACAGGAUUACGGUGAAUUCCUGGCCUCUCUGGCCUACAUAGACCAGAUCUCAAAAACAAAAUGGGCGCGUGGAUUGUUCGAGACCUUUUAGCCGUUAGCUGCUGGUUCGGGCUUAAGUUACAGCUCUAUAUUCAAAUGGCGCACUUGGGUGAUGAACAGUGAUACCUCGUACAGGAAGCACUGGAGCUGGUAUCAGAAAUUCAUAGUUCUAGAAUUCAAAUUUGCUUUAUGAUCAUACGUAAUAGGUGGGGGCAGAAAAGGCGGGAAUACGUCAGUUCCCAUGUUCCCCGGGGGCACUGCCCUAUAAAAGGCGCUGCUCCGUGCGCGCCCGUUUCAUAACGCUCGGGGGAGCCGUUGGUGGUUGUGAGCUGUCGUCGGACACGGGAAAUCAGUUAUAUUCUUAACAUGGAUACAAGCAGCAGCAGUGAAGAAUACAUGCCUGAAUUGCCAAGGCAGAGAAAGGCCAGCUGUGUGGUGAUUGACUCGGACUCUGACAAUCCCCAUGAUGAAAACAGUGCUAAGAUCUGUGAAAUAAGCAGUGAAGGCAAGUAUCAUCCCUGUUUGGAGAAACAACUGAGCUCUGAAGCCUUAUUACAUGUGGCAGUUUUAG
This 811-nucleotide long non-coding RNA is filed under the name Rattus norvegicus (Norway rat). RNAcentral's name for it is "long non-coding RNA NONRATT033838". Lineage: Eukaryota; Metazoa; Chordata; Mammalia; Rodentia; Muridae. The record is from RNAcentral.